RNAcentral lists this ribosomal RNA (433 nucleotides) under uncultured bacterium. Its description in RNAcentral is "partial 16S ribosomal RNA". It matches the Rfam family "Bacterial small subunit ribosomal RNA", at positions 29 to 507 of the family's 1533-position model. The record is from RNAcentral.
AACGAACGCUGGCGGCAUGCCUAACACAUGCAAGUCGAACGAGACCUUCGGGUUUAGUGUCGCACGGGUGCGUAACGCGUUGGAACCUGCCUUUAGGUUCGGAAUAACUCCCCGAAAGGGGUGCUAAUACCGGAUAUUGUCUUCGGUCCAAAGAUUUAUCGCCUUUGGAUGGGCCCGCGUUGGAUUAGCUGGUUGGUAGGGUAAAAGCCUAUCACUGCGACGAUCCAUAGCUGGUCUGAGAGGAUGGUCAGCGACACUGGGAGUGAGACACGGCCCAGACUCCUACGGGAAGGAGGAAUGGGGAAUAUAGGAAAAUGGGGGAAGGCAUGAAGCAGCAAUGCCGGGUGAGUGAUGAAGGCCGGAGGGUUGUAAAGUGGGUUUACCCGGGAGGAGAAUGACGGUACCGGAAGAAUAAGCACCGGCUAACUACGUG